Long non-coding RNA from Mus musculus (house mouse), 5169 nucleotides. RefSeq annotates it as predicted gene, 46266. The transcript is spliced from 2 exons. NCBI's taxonomy places the organism in Eukaryota, Metazoa, Chordata, Mammalia, Rodentia, Muridae. The record is from RefSeq and is a predicted model, not a curated record.
GGGGAGGGGAGGGGAGAGAUAGUUUACGGACUGGAGAAAUGGCUGAAAGCAUUUGCUGCACUUCCAAAGGGCCCAAGUUAGGGUCCCAGUACCCACUUUGGACAGCUCACAGCCACCUGUAACUCCUGGUCUCUUUAGGUACCAACACACAUGUGAUAGACACUUUUACACACAUGCACGCAAAUAAAAAUAAAUCUUAAAACACUUUAAAAGGUCAGUCUUUAAAACCACUGGGAAGCCAUUUCCAGCAUGGAUGAUGGACCAGCGAGGGCAAUCAAAGGGCAUCUGGUCCCAGCAAGUGCUGCUCAGAGUGUUUAGCAUGCUCUCCUUGGGAAGAAGCAGGGGGGACAGAUCUAGGACAUUCACAAACCACCAGUGAGGGGGCAGGAAGAACACUCUAGGCUAAGACACCAGAUGUGCGACACACUGCAAUGUAGGACCCUUGCUCAGAUCUUGGCUAAGAUUUUUGUUUAUUCUUAUGUGUAUAAAUAUUGCACCUGUGCUUGCAUGUAUAUUUGUGCACCAUGUGUGAGCAAUGCCCACUGAGGCCAGAAGUGCUCUUGGGACUAGACUUACAGAUCACUGUGGGCUGGCUGCCACGUGACUAAUAGGAACCAAGUUCAGGCUCUCAGCGAGCAUCCUAACCGCUGCGCUGUCUCUUUGAUUGUGUCUCCUGGGUAUCGUGGUAGAGCUAGAGCCUCCCACAGGCCAGCAGCGUCUCAGCCUCUGAGGUUUAUCUCUAGCUCCUCACUUUUAAUGUGAGAAUAUUAUACAUUCCCAGUAUAUUCUCUGAUGAGAUCUCACUAACUUGUCCAGGCUGACCUUGAACCUGUAAUCUUUCUGUCUCAGCCUCCUGAGCAGCUGGGGAUACAGGUUUACACAACAGCCCUGGGUCUGCCUCUUUACUUCCCUUCAUAGCCAAGGCAGUACCCAAGGUUCCCUGACUCCACUGACCACUGUCAGCCUUGCUGCCGGUCCGUGCUCACACUUAAAGGCUCCUGGCCUUUGAUCAGGAUGCCCACAGCCUUCCAGAGUCCUUUUCUGUCUCCAAUUCACUCUCCAAAUUGGUGUUCAGAAACAUACUUUGCGAACAAAACCCUGACCAUACCAUUCCUCACAUUCUUUAAUUUUUAAAAAAUAAUUCUUAAUUUUUUUGAGAUCUUUCAGUAUCUCACUAUGAAGCCCAGGUUUGCUUUGAACUUGGAGCAAUCCUUCCGCCUCAGGCAUCUGAAUGCUGGCAUUCCGGGUCUAAGCCACCAUUCCUGUUUCCCAGUUUAGCAGUACUUAAAUGAUACUUCAGGUCCACCAAUAUUAGAAUUCCUUAAUGAGGACCCCUAGAUUCUGAGAGCCUCUAUCCUCUCUCACUUCUUGCCUGCCAAGCGGCCACUCCAAGCACUUGCUACUCCGAACAUGUCCCAGGCCCCUGCUACCCUCACUUCUGUCUGAAUACCCCAUGACUGGUUAGGUCCCUUUCAUCAGCAACACACUAUUGGCACAGACACCCCGACCACACCUAAGUUCCUUUUGUCCUGUGGCUGCUGACCAUGGUGUUUUACCCGAUGGUGACUCCUCCUGGGGCCUGUGUCUGCAGAGUGCCUCUCUGCACUGCCAAGCCCUGAGCCUGGCAUACAGAGCGAUGCUUAGGGAACGGUAAUGGAUUCUCUAGCUCCUCUGGGAAUUUAGAUGUCUUAGUAUGUUUCACUUUGGGUCUCAUUUUUGGUGCCACCAGUUUGCUCCUCAGAGCUGGUCCUCGUGUUCCCUGUCUAAAUAAGGAAUGAAGGCUUGCUUCCCUCCUAACUAGGUAGAGUAACUCAGGCCAGUCACUCAGCUCCUGCAGUACACGACUAUGACCACCUGGUGACACUGCUGGGCUACAGCUAAACUUGGCAAGCGGCUCUGAAAGCUGCGCUACCUCUAGGGGGCGCUGGUAGGUGACGUGUCUCAGCAGGAUGUUCCCACCGUAACAGGAUCCCUACCUACCUCUCACAAAGCUGGUCCCUCAGCCCGGAAGCCGCAUGCAUCUGCUGCCCAGCAAACCUUCUCCCAGGCAGCAAGCAGGGGUAGAAGUGCAGGUGAUGAAAGGAAGAAGGUGGACAGGUAGGGGUCCUGCUACCUCUUGGGGGUCCCUCCCAUAGCUAGUCCUGGGUUCAAGGUCUGACCUGGGGCAGGCCAAGGCUCCCCAUGCAGGGAUAGGAGCUGUGUAGCCUGGCUCUGUAGUGACCUGGGUUUCCCCAUACCUUCUGGGAUGGGUGAACAACCUGUUUUCUCAUCGCGGGUCUCUGGGAGAGUGAGGGGCCUAGAGGAGGCAGAGAGCUGCUCACAAGAGUGUCGAUCAUAGCCGAGGCCACACUGACACUGUCAGAGGCCAGGGACCACAGGGAGUGGGCAGGUGAGGAUGGAGGGUCGGGAAGCAAGCAUCUGGGAGAGGUAGCAGGGCCCCAAGAAGUCAAGGGGUACACAGAGGUGGACUCGUGCAGGGUGAGGACGACCACGGCUGUAUCCAUCACUGACUCCAGGACCACAAACAGGCAAGACAAGGUUGGAAGCUAAUGCUGGCCACACCCUCACCAGUGGUGCUCAGGAAGGGAGGAGGGAAGCCAUGAUGCCAGCUUUUAAAGAGAACCCAGGCUGGCUGUCUUAGAAGGAUGCUUACACCCACCUGCCCGCCUGCCAAAUGCUUUCCAUGUUACAAUGGUUUCCAAGAGCGGGCACCUGAGACUUCAGGGCAUGGUAUGUUCUAGGCUUCCUUCUCUGUCUUUAGGUAGGGUAGAUUCCUAGGCCCCAACUCCAUUUGUUAGUUACUUCUAUUGAUCUUGAAGGUUCCCAGUGAGGUCCUUGAAACCUUGAGAUUUCUGAGUAUGUGGUUUCUAGGUCCCCCUUCCAUUUACUCAGUGUCUGCUCUGCAUGUGACAGUUUCUAAGCCUCCCUUUCCACUGUACAUUCAUACUGCUUCCUUUGUAUGGCAGUGUCUAGAUCACUUUAUCUCGGUUUCUCGGUUCUCUUUGCAUAUGACAGUUUCUAGGCUUCCCUAGUGGACCCUUGAAGUAUGUGGUGGUACCUAUUAUAGAUCUUUUGGGUAGAGCAGAGUGAGGUCUCUUGGCCUCAUUAACCAUGUCAAACAUACACACGAUGGUUUCAAGGUUUCCCUUCCCAAGCUUCCUGGAUUCUCGGUGUGUCUGUUGAUCUCUAGGUCCCCAGUCCUUUGUCCCAUGGAUCCCUUGUGCAUCCCCUUUUUGUCCCAUGACUUGCCUAAGGUCCCUUUCUGUUUUAGGUAGAUGCUUUCUUCACAUUUCCCUUCCUUCUGUGGUCAAUAGGACAAAGCCAAAACCUUUGACAGGAGGGACCGUGGAAGUGGAGAAGCAGUCUGGCUGGGUCACCUAAACUACCCAACAGCCUGGUGAGGCUACAGAGGCACUUACUGGGAGUCCUAGCCAAUACAUUAAAACAAGAAGAAAUAGGGACUGGAGAGAUGGCUUAAUGGUUAAGAGCACUGACUGCUCUUCUGAAGGUCCUGAGUUCAAAUCCCAGCAACCACAUGGUGGCUCACAACCACCCGUAACGAGAUCUGAUGCCCUCUUCUGGUGUGUCUGAAGACAGCUACAGUGUACUUAUAUAUAAUAAAUAAAUCUUUACAAAAAACAAAAACAAGAAGAAAUACAAAGUAUAUGGAUUUGGCAAACAACUAUUUUGCACACAACUUGAUUUAUCUAUGUAGAAAAUCUUGAAAUAACUGUAAUGUGAUUUUUUUUUUUUUGGUUUUUCAAGACAGGGUUUCUCUGUGUAGCCCUGGCUGACCUGGAACUCACUUUGUAGACCAGGCUGGCCUCGAACUCAGAAAUUCUCCUGCCUCUGCCUCCCAAGUGAUGGGAUUAAAGGCGUGCGCCACCACUGCCCGGCUGAUUUAUCUUGGUUUUUUUUUUUUUUUAUUGUUUAAAGAAUCCCUAGUUGCUAGCAACUGGCCUUUGGAAAUUCUUAGAACUGCUUGACCCUAUGACCUACCUUCUCUGGGAACAGAAGGGGAUAUAGAAAACCCAGCACAGGCUGAGAAAUGAGAUUGACAGGGUUGGAAAAGAGAAGGCAGCUGGUGCAGAAAGAGAUGGAGUAGAGACCGGAUGGUUAGGAAGAGAAGAUGGCUGGAAGAGAACUGGGCCUGCAGGGUGAGACGAGAAGACCACUGAGCCAGAGAAGAUAUUGUUAGGAGACAGGAAAAGAACCCACAAAGUAGUGAAGACCAGCCUCAACUAACAAAAAUGUUCCUGGAAUUAAUAAAUUAUUACAGCAAGAAGAUACAUUAAUACAUAGAAGCUCAUAAAAGCCAGCAGUGAGCAGCUGGAAUUCGAAAUUAAAAUAUGUAAUAUAUGUAUAUUACUAUUGCCCAGAGUGGUGGCACAUGGCUUUAGUCUCAAGCACUUGGGAUGCAAAGGUGGCAAUGUCUCUGUUAGUUAAGAACUAGUCUGGCCUGUGCAACCUUGGCAUCUAGGGCUACAUGGGAAGACCCUGUCUCAAAAAAGCAGCAGCAGCAACAAAAUAAAAUAAUUAAAGGCCUGAAUGGCACAAUGAACGAAGGCAAAGGAACACAUGAACGCAUGAAAGUCAGUAUCAUCCGGGAACUGCAAAACUGCAAAAUAGCAGGGAGAUCAUCACAGCAAACAUCCAGGCCAGGUAAUCCCAGCACUCAGGACAAUCGCUUGAGUUUGAGGACAGCCUGGACCAAAACCAAAACCACCACCAACAAAACAGCUUCCCAAUGAAACAGUAUUGCACACCUAUUAGGAUGGCCAAAACAUCCAAUGACAAUACCAAGUGGAGGUGAGGAUGGGGGAAGAUGAAACUCUCCCAUGUUGUGAGGACUUUGUAUGGUUUGAGUGAGAAUGACCCUAUAGGGUCACUAGUUAGGGGAACUGUUUGGGAAGGACUGGAGGUGUGGCUGUUUUGGAGCAGACGUGGUCUUGUUGUAGGAGGCGUGUCACUGGGGUGGGCUCUGAGGUUUCAGAAGCCCACAGUAGGCCUAGUGUCUCUCUCUGCCUGUUGCCUGUGGAUCAUGAUGUAAAGCUCGCAGCGACUGCUCCAGCACCAUGCCUGCCUGCCACUAUGCUCCCCACCGCAAUGACAAUGAUUAACUCUCUGAAACUGUAAGCAAGUCCUCAAUUAAAUGCUCUCUCUUCUAAA